UGGGAUUCGGGCAAGAAGGAAG
RNAcentral lists this unclassified non-coding RNA (22 nucleotides) under Mus musculus (house mouse). RNAcentral describes it as "oocyte_clustered_small_RNA11759". The record is from RNAcentral. Lineage: Eukaryota; Metazoa; Chordata; Mammalia; Rodentia; Muridae.